CCUACGGGAGGCAGCAGUGGGGAAUAUUGCGCAAUGAGCGAAAGCCUGACGCAGCGACGCCGCGUGAGGGAUGAAGGUCUUCGGAUCGUAAACCUCUGUCAGCAGGGAAGAACGGUCACUGUGCUAAUCAGCAGUGAAUUGACGGUACCUGCAAAGGAAGCACCGGCUAACUCCGUGCCAGCAGCCGAGGUAAUACGGAGGGUGCGAGCGUUAAUCGGAAUUACUGGGCGUAAAGCGCUCGUAGGCGGUAUGUCAAGUCAAGGGUGAAGUCCCCGCGCUCAACGUGGGAACUGCCGUUGAAACUGGGAAACUGGAGUGUGUGAGAGGGUAGUGGAAUUCCAGGUGUAGGAGUGAAAUCCGUAGAUAUCUGGAGGAACAUCAGUGGCGAAGGCGACUAUCUGGCACAUAACUGACGCUGAGGAGCGAAAGCGUGGGUAGCAAACAGGAUUAGAUACCCUUGUAGUC
RNAcentral lists this ribosomal RNA (465 nucleotides) under uncultured bacterium. Its description in RNAcentral is "partial 16S ribosomal RNA". It matches the Rfam family "Bacterial small subunit ribosomal RNA", at positions 338 to 795 of the family's 1533-position model. The record is from RNAcentral.